RNAcentral lists this transfer RNA (84 nucleotides) under Elusimicrobiota bacterium. RNAcentral's name for it is "Elusimicrobia bacterium (activated sludge metagenome) tRNA-Leu". It matches the Rfam family "tRNA". From Rfam's summary of the family: Transfer RNA (tRNA) molecules are approximately 80 nucleotides in length. Their secondary structure includes four short double-helical elements and three loops (D, anti-codon, and T loops). Lineage: Bacteria; Pseudomonadati; Elusimicrobiota. The record is from RNAcentral.
GCGCGGGUGGUGGAAUUGGCAGACACGUAAGGCUCAGGACCUUAUGGCCGCAAGGCCUUGCAGGUUCAACUCCUGUCCCGCGCA